Molecule: ribosomal RNA, 253 nt
Filed under: uncultured Gardnerella sp.
Lineage: Bacteria; Bacillati; Actinomycetota; Actinomycetes; Bifidobacteriales; Bifidobacteriaceae
Description: partial 16S ribosomal RNA
Rfam family: Bacterial small subunit ribosomal RNA
Source: RNAcentral
CGGGUAGAGUAAUGCGUGACCAACCUGCCCCAUGCUCCAGAAUAGCUCUUGGAAACGGGUGGUAAUGCUGGAUGCUCCAACUUGACGCAUGUCUUGUUGGGAAAGUGUUUAGUGGCAUGGGAUGGGGUCGCGUCCUAUCAGCUUGUAGGCGGGGUAAUGGCCCACCUAGGCUUCGACGGGUAGCCGGCAUGAGAGGGCGGACGGCCACAUUGGGACUGAGAUACGGCCCAGACUCCUACGGGAGGCAGCAGCG